Molecule: long non-coding RNA, 469 nt
Organism: Rosa chinensis
Lineage: Eukaryota; Viridiplantae; Streptophyta; Magnoliopsida; Rosales; Rosaceae
Exons: 2
Source: RefSeq, a predicted model, not a curated record
UCCAGAAUUCUCGCCGAAUCAUGGUGUCGCCCGUCUUUAUGUAUGUUCUCCAAGGAGCCGUUAUGGGACUCGUGGUUGCUGGAGCCGCUUACGAGGUGACACCUCGUGUCCAAGACAGUCUCAAACGUUGGAUAAUUUCCAAUGAAGAGAUACUGAAAUCUAGCCGCAAUAUAAUAAGAAUGGAGGAGAAUGAGAGGAGGCGGGGAUGGCUCUAAGGUUCAGAAAUGAACCCGUCAUAUUGUGAAUUUGUGGAAGCCUACGUACUUUUGGCUUUAUGUAAUUUGUGAGAGACAACUUUUGGCUUUAUGUAACUAUAACUACAUUUACGCUCAGUAUUUCUCAUGUCUUAGUUUAGAAGGUUCUGUUCUGUACCUUAAUUUAGGGAAUUUAGGGUGGUGUAUUCAUUUAAGAGUCUAGGAUUUUUUUGUAUUUUGAAAGUCUAUAGGUAUUCAAUUGAGAUUUUAAACAA